AAGGCCCUCAAACGGCCCCAGCACAGGAGACUGAAGAGGUGCAGCCGUUCCAGCCACUGCAGGAGGAUGCAGCCAUGGACGGCACACAAGAGCAGGACACCGCCCGUGGCCGCUUCCACAGAGCAGCGCAGUUUCUUUACCAAUUCAUCACGAGAACUGGCAAGGAAGACACCAGACCCAUGGACACUGAGGUCAAGGCAUCCUCAGAGGUCUUGGCAGAACAGAGCAGCGCUGCCCAGCUGGAUAUGCUUGUAGAGACAGCUCUUUUCAGUCCAGAGCAAGUAAGCAGCCUGUGGCCAGCCUUUGAUCCUCCAGCAAUUGCUUGGCUUUCCCAAGCCACGNNNNNNNNNNNNNNNNNNNNGUUUUUAUCACUUUGGUGUUCUUUCAAACUACUCUAUUGACAUGUUAGACUGUCAAUUCGAACAGACUAACAAUGUUGUAUAUAGUUUUGUAUAGUGUGCGUAUUAACUCACUGAAUUAGAAAUAUUAGACUCAGCCAUCAAAUCCUUGCAAGGAGAACAAAUCCUAAAUACCAAAACAUAAACCAAAAUUCUAAAUUAAUUCUAAAUCAGCAUCCAUUCCAAUUUCUAGUAAAAGAAACCUCUUGUGCCGUGUUUGUUCCUUUUCUGAAGGGCCCAACAGAAAAUUACAAACACAGUACAUUUUUAUUUUUUUUUCCUAAGCGAAAAAGGUGAAUUGUGGAUGCUAAAUCUGAACCAGAGUGCCUGUAGUUAUUACAGGCCACAUAGCUCUCAGGCCUGACUGAGAACUAGCCUGAGAAAUUCAUGAGAAGGAAUUAAAACAAUUCUCAGAGAUACUAAACAGCCUUGCAGGUGUUGUUUUGCAGCCUGUUGUUUCUCCUUGCAGGAGAGAGUCAGGGGGGCAAAGUGCCCCUGACCAAUGAUGGUGGUGUAGUACUUUGUUAACCAAUAAGAGUUUCCUUUCUGUACUUUUCCACGUAUCUGUCUAUAAGACAGAGCUGAAGCAAUAAACUAGGGAAUUCUCGUGUUGUGACUCCCUUG
This 1022-nucleotide long non-coding RNA is filed under the name Cyanistes caeruleus (blue tit). Its description in RNAcentral is "lncRNA (ENSCCEG00000009081.1)". The record is from RNAcentral. Lineage: Eukaryota; Metazoa; Chordata; Aves; Passeriformes; Paridae.